RNAcentral lists this ribosomal RNA (542 nucleotides) under uncultured bacterium. RNAcentral describes it as "bacterial SSU rRNA". It matches the Rfam family "Bacterial small subunit ribosomal RNA", at positions 356 to 896 of the family's 1533-position model. The record is from RNAcentral.
GAGGAAUAUUGGUCAAUGGGCGAGAGCCUGAACCAGCCAAGUAGCGUGCAGGAAGACGGCCCUAUGGGUUGUAAACUGCUUUUAUGUGGGGAUAAAGUGAGCUACGUGUAGUUUAUUGCAGGUACCACAUGAAUAAGGACCGGCUAAUUCCGUGCCAGCAGCCGCGGUAAUACGGAAGGUCCAGGCGUUAUCCGGAUUUAUUGGGUUUAAAGGGAGCGUAGGCCGUGGAUUAAGCGUGUUGUGAAAUGUAGACGCUCAACGUCUGAAUUGCAGCGCGAACUGGUUCACUUGAGUAUGCACAACGUAGGCGGAAUUCGUCGUGUAGCGGUGAAAUGCUUAGAUAUGACGAAGAACUCCGAUUGCGAAGGCAGCUUACGGGAGCACAACUGACGCUGAAACUCGAAGGUGCGGGUAUCAAACAGGAUUAGAUACCCUGGUAGUCCGCACAGUAAACGAUGGAUGCCCGUUGUUAGUUCACUUAAGAAUUAGCGACCAAGCGAAAGCAUUAAGCAUCCCACCUGGGGAGUACGCCGGCAACGGUG